RNAcentral lists this ribosomal RNA (735 nucleotides) under Escherichia coli. RNAcentral's name for it is "partial 23S ribosomal RNA". It matches the Rfam family "Bacterial large subunit ribosomal RNA", at positions 523 to 1257 of the family's 2925-position model. The record is from RNAcentral. Lineage: Bacteria; Pseudomonadati; Pseudomonadota; Gammaproteobacteria; Enterobacterales; Enterobacteriaceae.
ACCCCGGCGAGGGGAGUGAAAAAGAACCUGAAACCGUGUACGUACAAGCAGUGGGAGCACGCUUAGGCGUGUGACUGCGUACCUUUUGUAUAAUGGGUCAGCGACUUAUAUUCUGUAGCAAGGUUAACCGAAUAGGGGAGCCGAAGGGAAACCGAGUCUUAACUGGGCGUUAAGUUGCAGGGUAUAGACCCGAAACCCGGUGAUCUAGCCAUGGGCAGGUUGAAGGUUGGGUAACACUAACUGGAGGACCGAACCGACUAAUGUUGAAAAAUUAGCGGAUGACUUGUGGCUGGGGGUGAAAGGCCAAUCAAACCGGGAGAUAGCUGGUUCUCCCCGAAAGCUAUUUAGGUAGCGCCUCGUGAAUUCAUCUCCGGGGGUAGAGCACUGUUUCGGCAAGGGGGUCAUCCCGACUUACCAACCCGAUGCAAACUGCGAAUACCGGAGAAUGUUAUCACGGGAGACACACGGCGGGUGCUAACGUCCGUCGUGAAGAGGGAAACAACCCAGACCGCCAGCUAAGGUCCCAAAGUCAUGGUUAAGUGGGAAACGAUGUGGGAAGGCCCAGACAGCCAGGAUGUUGGCUUAGAAGCAGCCAUCAUUUAAAGAAAGCGUAAUAGCUCACUGGUCGAGUCGGCCUGCGCGGAAGAUGUAACGGGGCUAAACCAUGCACCGAAGCUGCGGCAGCGACGCUGAUGCGUUGUUGGGUAGGGGAGCGUUCUGUAAGCCUGUGAAGGU